UGCCAGCCGCCGCGGUAAUACUGAAGGCCCGAGCGUUAAUCGGAAUCACUGGGCUUAAAGCGUACGCAGGCGGACUUGUAGGUAUUUUGUGAAAUCCCACGGCUUAACCGUGGAACUGCAGAGUAAACCACAAGUCUUGAGGCAUGUAGGGGUCAGUGGAACCAUGAGUGGAGCGGUGAAAUGCGUAGAUAUUCAUGGGAACGCCAAUGGCGAAGGCAACUGACUGGGCAUGUCCUGACGCUCAGGUACGAAAGCGUGGGUAGCGAACGGGAUUAGAUA
RNAcentral lists this ribosomal RNA (279 nucleotides) under uncultured bacterium. RNAcentral describes it as "partial 16S ribosomal RNA". It matches the Rfam family "Bacterial small subunit ribosomal RNA", at positions 506 to 784 of the family's 1533-position model. The record is from RNAcentral.